Long non-coding RNA from Mya arenaria, 2251 nucleotides. RefSeq lists it as uncharacterized. The transcript is spliced from 4 exons. The record is from RefSeq and is a predicted model, not a curated record. Lineage: Eukaryota; Metazoa; Mollusca; Bivalvia; Myida; Myidae.
CAUAGAAAUAUACCCUUAUUUCAAUAUUUUCAUUGCAUUCAAUACAUAUUAAAGUUUGACGCUGUGCCUAGAAUAAAAGAAAAAAAACAUUAUUUAAUAGUUGUAAAAACUAGGCUUUUUAAAAUCGUCUAGUUUAGUUAAAAGAAGUAUGUACCCUACUAAUUUAAAAUAUAAAAAUGCACACUUGUUCAUGAUGACGUUUAGUUGCUGUGUACUUUUUGUGAUUUUGGUGACCUGAGUGUAGACGAAUAAACUUGUAAACUGUUAAGUGUUACAAAUUCCGACGCCUGACACCUGUGUGGAAUGUGACAAAUCGCCUGUCUCGAAAAUCGAAAAAAUAACAUCUUAAAACUAUCAACUUUCUUUUUUCAAUAAUUAUUAUCCAUCUAAAAUGUAUAAACUGUGGUGAAUCUUGGAUUUUGAUGCAGGAAAACAUAUAUCAAAAUGACAAAAUAGACAUAGUCACAAUAUACAUGCAUCAUGGUAAAAUUAAAAAUGAUCAUAUAAAAUAUGUAAAGAGAUGGAUUUUUGUUAUUUAAUCUUUAUUUCCUCUAAUAUAUGAAGAGUCAAACAUAAAUUUACAUAGUUAUGAUAUAUAUCUCUCAAACGUUUAUGGUAUAAUUAUGCAACUCCGCCUUUUCCUCGUCUGGGCUAUUAUAUAUAUAUCAAAUAAACUAUCGUCACAAACGGAAUAAGCAAUGUAGUCAGAAGACAAACUGUUAAAAAAAUGCACAUUAUCAGGGUACAACCAAUGUUCAGAAAUGCCACAUACAUCUAUGAUAAUCAGCGUAUCAGUAAGAUAUGACACACUAGAGAAAACUUCAGUGACAUUCCACGUCAAAAUGGUAAAAGUCAUAAACAGAAAAUAUGUAUAUAUGAGUAUCAUUGCAAUCAUGUAUUUUUCAAUAGUUAUAUUCAAAGUCAUUUAAGUAUCGCAGAUGCUUGAAUCUAUUUCCAUUCCGAUCAUAUUGGCCAUCCUCUGGUUGCAGGUUGACGCCACUUCCGCGAUUGCCACUGGUGUGUUGUACAUCAAAUCGCCCGCCGUGUCAGCCACGUCAGCUCGGGUUUUGUAGAUUGCGCCUUCCGGCUCCGUUCUGGAAACGAGGCUGGAGAUAUUUUGCCCGACAUUGGCGCUGGUUUCUCGUAUAGGUCCGGGACUGCCAAAGUUUACAGUUCACAAAGUCAGGCCAUAAAUCGUCACGUAGAACAUGAUUGGGCAUGUUGUCUCAAUGAACGUUUAAGCGAACUAUGAUUUUAUCCGGAUAUCUCCGCAUGAGGAAUAUACGGAUGUUCGAAACAGUCGGCCCAUGUUCAUUCACAUAGGCCGCCAACUCAGCGGCUGUCAUGGUCUUGCUGUAACCACCAGCAAUAAAGUGUUUUGUCGAGCGUUUAAAAGGAGGCUCGAACCCCAUGUCAUCGGCAUGUGCUUCGUUUUCAUUCCUAACGUCGUGCAGCUGUGUAACCCGUACAGGAAUCGUAUGUGAAUCAGGCGUACGCGCCUGAUGUUCACGAUCAUGACGCUCAAGAUGCAACGGCCAGUGCAGUUCCGUGUAGGUACCUCGCAUAUAUCAUCAGGAGAUGAGCUUCCGCUCACGGGGGCGGAAAGUGGCCACAGAAUGUGAAAGCAGGACAUAUACAAGAAAGGCUAUACAUCAAGAAUCACCUCAGAGACGAAAAGAAAAAUGUGGAAGGCUGUUGAAAGAAUCUUUAAUGCCCAGUCUACAGGAAUUCAUAGAACUGUAGACCUGCUAACCAAGAAGGAGGACAAACUAACUCAAGUCCACCGCCCUAAGUUCAUGGAUUAUAAAAGACAGCUUCAGCUGACAGACGAUAGCGCUUGUUGUCGGUGCGAACGACAUUGGCCGAAGAUCAGCAGCUGCAAUUGAAGAGGGGGAAAAUGGAGAGCCAGGAGAAAACCCACUUGUCAGACCUGGUGAUCGUUCAGUACUCACAUGCCGUCAUUUUACAACAAAUAGACGAAACAAGUACAAACGUUGCUGCAAGAUGCAGCAAUUGGAUGUUAGCGCGGGCCAACUAUUGGUUAUGCAAGUCUAUAUGUAGGGUCAGAACGAAGUAAAUAAAGUAAGGGCUAACAUUGAUUGUAGAUGUCAGCGAAAUGAAGUUACUUAAAAGAUGACAGAAUUGGGCUGUUGUUUUGAAAAUAAAAUAAAACGUAACACAAUAACAUUUGUACAAGUGAUGGUAUAUCUAUGACAGAAACCAUAAUUGUAUCAAAUAACUUUAUUCAUGA